Long non-coding RNA from Rhagoletis zephyria (snowberry fruit fly), 95 nucleotides. RefSeq lists it as uncharacterized. The record is from RefSeq and is a predicted model, not a curated record. Lineage: Eukaryota; Metazoa; Arthropoda; Insecta; Diptera; Tephritidae.
UGAAAUGAAAAAUUAACUCGAUUUUCGGAAUCACCGAGUAAUUCUACAUAGGAAUCGGACAGUGGCAUCCAUAGAACAUUUUUGCUGUAAACCAG